This 465-nucleotide ribosomal RNA is filed under the name Vreelandella stevensii. RNAcentral's name for it is "partial 16S ribosomal RNA". It matches the Rfam family "Bacterial small subunit ribosomal RNA", at positions 338 to 795 of the family's 1533-position model. Lineage: Bacteria; Pseudomonadati; Pseudomonadota; Gammaproteobacteria; Oceanospirillales; Halomonadaceae. The record is from RNAcentral.
CCUACGGGAGGCAGCAGUGGGGAAUAUUGGACAAUGGGGGGAACCCUGAUCCAGCCAUGCCGCGUGUGUGAAGAAGGCCCUCGGGUGGUAAAGCACUUUCAGUGAGGAAGAACGCCUGGUGGUUAAUACCCAUCAGGAAAGACAUCACUCACAGAAGAAGCACCGGCUAACUCCGUGCCAGCAGCCGCGGUAAUACGGAGGGUGCGAGCGUUAAUCGGAAUUACUGGGCGUAAAGCGCGCGUAGGUGGCUUGAUAAGCCGGUUGUGAAAGCCCCGGGCUCAACCUGGGAACGGCAUCCGGAACUGUCAAGCUAGAGUGCAGGAGAGGAAGGUAGAAUUCCCGGUGUAGCGGUGAAAUGCGUAGAGAUCGGGAGGAAUACCAGUGGCGAAGGCGGCCUUCUGGACUGACACUGACACUGAGGUGCGAAAGCGUGGGUAGCAAACAGGAUUAGAUACCCGUGUAGUC